GUAUUGGUGGUUCAGUGGUAGAAUGCUCACCUGCUACGCGGGAGAACUUGAGUCGCUUCCUGGCUAAUACA
Danio rerio (zebrafish) is the source of this 71-nucleotide non-coding RNA. The record is from Rfam. NCBI's taxonomy places the organism in Eukaryota, Metazoa, Chordata, Actinopteri, Cypriniformes, Danionidae.